GCUGUUUACCUUCCUGUUGCAGCAGUACCUAUUUAUAAACUUGUACUUUGACAUGCUUUCGAACUGCUAGAUGGGCAGGAGGUGGGACUGAGCAACGGGAACUCAACCGAUUAUGAGGAUUCGGACGAGGACCUUCCAGACAGCAAGCCCAGGAGUACCGAUGAACCUCCAUUGUGUACACUCUUGGGAGGAUUUUGCCAGGGCCCAAUCACUGCAAAUUGUGCUUUUGGAGAAAUUACAAACAUCCCCUGUGGUCCUAAUGAACGCUGCUGUAGGAGAGGACAAUAAUCAAUGUAAGAGGAAAAGGGGGGUUCUGCCAGGAGGAACUCACCAAACGCUGCCCGCCUGGUCUAACUCUUCCGGCUUACUGUGGCUUCAGUGCACAAUGCUGUGCCCUUGAGUGACAUCAGUGAGCAGCCCACAUCCAUCAGUGUGAACGCCUGAUGGCUACACUGAUUCUUCUGGAUCUUUGCUUGUGGAAGUGGGCCUGAUCAAUCCAUUUGUGAAAGCAGACAAUGAAAUAAAAAUCAGUCUGUUCAGAUGAUCAUCUAAUUAAACGCAUAUUAACCUGCAAAUCUAAAAUUGUUUUUUUUUUUGUUUUUUUUUUAAAAAAGCAUUUAUAUGGCGCAUCCUCCAGAGGAAGUGCAUCAUAUCUGCCCAAGAUUCCUCUUGACUGAAGUUCUCA
Molecule: long non-coding RNA, 685 nt
Filed under: Podarcis muralis (Common wall lizard)
Lineage: Eukaryota; Metazoa; Chordata; Lepidosauria; Squamata; Lacertidae
Description: lncRNA (ENSPMRG00000000607.1)
Source: RNAcentral